AGUGGCGAACGGGUGAGUAACACGUGGGCAACCUGCCCAAAAGAGGGGGAUAACACUUGGAAACGGGUGCUAAUACCGCAUAACCAUAGUUACCGCAUGGUAACUAUGUAAAAGGUGGCUAUGCUACCGCUUUUGGAUGGGCCCGCGGCGCAUUAGCUAGUUGGUGGGGUAAAGGCUUACCAAGGCAAUGAUGCGUAGCCGAACUGAGAGGUUGAUCGGCCACAUGGGACUGAGACACGGCCCAAACUCCUACGGAAGGCAGCAG
Molecule: ribosomal RNA, 265 nt
Filed under: uncultured bacterium
Lineage: Bacteria
Description: partial 16S ribosomal RNA
Rfam family: Bacterial small subunit ribosomal RNA
Source: RNAcentral